Molecule: long non-coding RNA, 302 nt
Filed under: Vigna radiata
Lineage: Eukaryota; Viridiplantae; Streptophyta; Magnoliopsida; Fabales; Fabaceae
Description: long non-coding RNA (VRAD_LNC009389)
Source: RNAcentral
AAUUCAAUUUGAUUUACUUUACAUCUAAGAUUAUCGGGCGCAACAUAAAUUUCAAUUGGCCAUUGUGAGUAUUAUGAAGAGAUAGCAUACAUGCAAAUAAACUAACGCGUUUAAUUACUUUUUUUCUGUGGUAACCUUUGAUUGAACUGAUUUAAUGUAUAUAUUAGGGGUCGUUCCAGUUCCAAAAUCAUAUUUUAGUAUUCAAGGGAAUAGGUCAAACGUUGAGAGGAAAGUAUAAUACUUCUUCUUUCAAGGACCCACUAAACCUAACAUCUUCUCCCACACUUCACACUUCUUUUCAC